GAACAAGCCCCAAACUAUUUCCCAGAGUUCCCCACGUUUCGGCCCUACAAAGCGGUCUUCCCUCGGGGGUUGAAGACUUCAGGCCAAGAUGGCGACAGGAACGGGCAAACACAAGCUGUUGAGUAGUGGCCCCACAGAACCAUGGUCCAUCCGAGAGAAGCUGUGUUUAGCAUCUUCUGUCAUGAGGAGUGGGGAUCAAAAUUGGGUAUCAGUUAGCAGAGCAAUCAAGCCCUUUGCAGAACCUGGCCGCCCUCCAGACUGGUUCUCUCAAAAACAUUGUGCUUCUCAGUACUCUGAACUUCUAGAAACUACCGAGACCCCAAAACGGAAACGGGGUGAAAAAGGAGAAGUGGUGGAAACUGUUGAAGAUGUCAUUGUUCGGAAAUUGACUGCUGAACGAGUUGAGGAACUAAAGAAAAUGAUAAAGGAAACCCAGGAAAAAUAUAGACGACUGAAAAGAGAUGCAGAACUAAUUCAAGCCGGGCACAUGGACAGCAGAUUGGAUGAGCUUUGCAAUGACAUUGCAAUGAAAAAGAAAUUGGAGGAAGAGGAGGCUGAAGUAAAGAGGAAGGCUACGGAUGCUGCAUAUCAAGCUCGUCAAGCAGUAAAAACACCCCCUCGGAGGUUACCCACUGUGAUGGUUCGAUCUCCUAUAGAUUCUGCCUCCCCAGGAAGUGAUUAUCCACUUGGGGACUUGACUGCAACCACUAUGGAAGAGGCCACCUCUGGCGUAACCCCUGGGACUUUGCCGAGUACCCCAGUCACCUCGUUUCCUGGGAUUCCUGACACCCUUCCUCCAGGCUCUGCACCCUUAGAAGCCCCCAUGACCCCAGUAACAGAUGAUUCACCCCAGAAAAAGAUGCUUGGACAGAAAGCAACUCCACCCCCCUCCCCUCUGCUGUCAGAGCUCUUGAAGAAGGGCAGCCUCCUGCCUACUAGCCCCAGACUGGUCAAUGAGAGUGAAAUGGCUGUGGCUUCUGCCCACCUGAACAGUACAGGUGUCCUCCUGGAGGUAGGCGGGGUCCUUCCCAUGAUACAUGGUGGGGAUUUGCAGCAAACACCCAACACUGUUGCAGCCUCCCCUGCUGCUUCAGGUGCUCCCACUCUUUCCCGGCUUUUAGAAGCUGGUCCUACACAGUUCACCACACCUCUUGCUUCCUUCACUACUGUUGCCAGUGAGCCUCCAGUUAAACUUGUGCCACCCCCUGUAGAGUCUGUGUCCCAGGCUACCAUUGUCAUGAUGCCUGCGCUACCAGCACCAUCCUCUGCUCCGGCUGUCUCCACUCCUGAGAGUGUAGCUCCAGUGAGUCAGCCUGACACUUGUGUUCCCAUGGAGGCUGUGGGGGAUCCACAUACUGUGACUGUUUCCAUGGAUAGCAGUGAAAUCUCCAUGAUUAUCAAUUCUAUCAAAGAAGAGUGUUUCCGAUCAGGGGUAGCAGAGGCUUCUGGAGGAUCAAAGGCUCCCAGCAUAGAUGGGAAGGAAGAUUUAGAUCUGGCUGAGAAGAUGGAUAUUGCUGUGUCUUACACUGGUGAAGAGCUUGACUUUGAGACCGUUGGAGACAUCAUUGCUAUCAUUGAGGACAAGGUAGAUGAUCAUCCUGAAGUGCUGGAUGUGGCAGCAGUGGAAGCAGCAUUGUCGUUCUGUGAAGAUAAUGAUGAUCCUCGGUCUCUGCCUGGCCCCUGGGAGCACCCUAUGCAGCAGGAACGGGACAAGCCAGUACCUCUUUCUGCACCAGAAUUGACAGUCAAGCAAGAGAGGCUGGACUUUGAGGAAUCGGAAAACAAAGGAAUCCACGAACUGGUAGACAUCAGAGAACCUGGUGUUGAGAUCAAAAUGGAACCUACAGAACCAGAGCAAGGCAUUUCAGGGGCUGAAAUAGUCACUGGGGUCGCUCCAGCCACAUGUAUAGAGCCACCAGAACUCAGGAAUCAGGACUUAGAUGAGGAACCCAGAAGUACUGCAGCUGGAGAGAUUGCUGAAGUAGAUGUUGCCAGUGGGAAAGGCGAUGAGACUCCAGUUACAACUGUGAAGACAGAGGCAUCCCCUGAAAGCAUGCUAUCUCCAUCACAUGGCUCAAAUCCCAUGGAAGAUCCUUUAGAGGCAGAAACUCAGCACAAAUUUGAAAUGUCAGACUCAUUGAAAGAAGAAUCAGGGACUAUUUUUGGAAGCCAGAUAAAGCACACUGUGUCUAAGGAUGCCCCAGGUGAGGAUGAGGAGGAAGAUGGAGUCAGUGAAGCAGCCAGUCUAGAGGAGCCUAAGGAAGAAGAUCAAGGAGAAGGCUAUUUGUCAGAAAUGGAUAACGAACCCCCUGUGAGCGAGAGUGAUGAUGGCUUUAGUAUACACAAUGCUACUCUGCAGUCCCACACACUGGCAGACUCCAUCCCCAGCAGUCCUGCUUCUUCUCAGUUCUCUGUCUGUAGUGAGGAUCAGGAAGCUAUUCAAGCACAAAAAAUCUGGAAGAAAGCCAUCAUGCUUGUAUGGAGAGCUGCAGCUAAUCAUAGAUAUGCCAAUGUAUUUCUGCAGCCUGUUACAGAUGACAUAGCACCUGGCUACCACAGCAUUGUGCAGAGGCCAAUGGAUCUGUCAACUAUUAAGAAAAACAUUGAAAAUGGACUGAUCCGCAGCACAGCUGAAUUUCAGCGUGACAUUAUGUUGAUGUUCCAGAAUGCUGUAAUGUAUAAUAGCUCGGAUCAUGAUGUCUAUCACAUGGCAGUAGAAAUGCAGCGAGAUGUUUUGGAGCAGAUCCAGGGCCAACUGUGUUUCUUCUCCCUACAGCAAUUCCUGGCCACACAGUUGAUUAUGCAAACAUCUGAGUCUGGGAUCAGUGCUAAAAGUCUUCGAGGAAGAGAUUCUACCCGCAAACAGGAUGCUUCAGAGAAGGACAGUGUCCCCAUGGGCUCUCCUGCCUUCCUUCUCUCUCUCUUUUGACUGGAUCCCCAAGCAAUUGGCUGGCUGUUACAAGGCUGGUUAAUAGGAUCUUUUAUCUAUGGAAGACAGCAAUGUAUUGCACAAGAGGAAGGAUCUGGGCUGCAGGGAGAGAGCAGCAGAUGGAAAGAAGCCUUCUGAUUGUCCUGAUCUCAUGGAAAACAACUGUCAGGAGGUGCUAGGGAACUAGUGCCAGGGUCAGUCUGCAGGAAAGGCCUUUCUUUAGGGACCAACAAACAGCUGGACAGGAUGGUGGCACCAGGGGGCGCCGCUGUGCCAUUGAAGCAGAUAUGAAGAUGAAAAAAUGAAAUCUCAGAGUACCCUCAUUGAGCUGAACCCGAAAAAGAAAUAAACAAGUUAAAGUUUGGGCUUGUGGGCCCAGUUCCAGAAUUGGGAGUUAACAGAAGAGGAGGCUCCUGGGCCAUGUGACAUGAUCUGGGAAAAUCUCAGAGUUGGAGUAGCAUAAUUGCCUGUUUUAGGGCAAAAAUCAUGGGCUGUGUUAAUGUCCUAAUGUGUAUGUAACUAACAGAUUGUAGCUAAUUUGUACUGUCUUGUGAAGUGUACAGACUUAAAAAAAAAUCUGUGAAGUGUUUGUGUUCACAAUAAACUCUGAAAGAAAACUCGU
This is an RNA transcript of Myotis myotis, 3551 nucleotides long. It is a transcript of the gene named bromodomain containing 8, with no coding region annotated. The transcript has 23 exons. The record is from RefSeq and is a predicted model, not a curated record. NCBI's taxonomy places the organism in Eukaryota, Metazoa, Chordata, Mammalia, Chiroptera, Vespertilionidae.